CGGAGGUGGCAAGCGUUACUCGGAAUUAUUGGGUGUAAAGGGCAAGUAGGUGGCUUGGUAAGUGAGAGGUGAAAUACUCCGGCUCAAUCGGAGAACUGCCUUUCAAACUGCCUUGCUUGAGGAUGACAGGGGGAAAUGGAAUUCCAGGUGUAAGGGUGAAAUCUGUAGAUAUCUGGAAGAACACCAGCGGCGAAGGCGAUUUCCUGGGUCACUCCUGACACUGAAUUGCGAAAGCUAGGGGAGCAAACAGAAUUAGAUACUCUGGUAGUCCUAGCCGUAAACGAUGAGCACUAGGUGUUGGUCCCGUUAGGGAUCAGUGCCGCAGCUAACGCAUUAAGUGCUCCACCUGAGGACUACGGUCGCAAGGCUA
This 370-nucleotide ribosomal RNA is filed under the name uncultured organism. RNAcentral describes it as "bacterial SSU rRNA". It matches the Rfam family "Bacterial small subunit ribosomal RNA", at positions 526 to 896 of the family's 1533-position model. The record is from RNAcentral.